RNAcentral lists this transfer RNA (64 nucleotides) under Coleoptera sp. ACP-2013. RNAcentral's name for it is "tRNA-Asn". Lineage: Eukaryota; Metazoa; Arthropoda; Insecta; Coleoptera. The record is from RNAcentral.
UUUAAUUGAAACCAAAUUUAGAGGUAUUUCACUGUUAAUGAAAUUAUUGGAUAACCCCAAUUAA